AGCUGAGUGUCAGGGAACUGCCAUCGGAAGGAAGGGAGGUGAAAGGACUCAGACAGGUUGGAAGAGAUUCAGCAGCUGAAGAGGGAACCAGCAAGGGGAGAGAAGCUGAACUGAGGGAGGUGAAAGGACUCAGACAGGUUGGAAGAGAUUCAGCAGCUGAAGAGGGAACCAGCAAGGGGAGAGAAGCUGAACUGAGGGAGGUGAAAGGGCUCAGACAGGUUGGAAGAGACUCAGCAGCGGAAGAGGAAACCAGCAGGGGGAGACAAGCUGAACUGAGGGAAGGG
Molecule: non-coding RNA, 284 nt
Organism: Podarcis lilfordi (Lilford's wall lizard)
Lineage: Eukaryota; Metazoa; Chordata; Lepidosauria; Squamata; Lacertidae
Source: the annotation of a GenBank genome assembly